Pelobates cultripes (western spadefoot toad) is the source of this 218-nucleotide non-coding RNA. The record is from the annotation of a GenBank genome assembly. Lineage: Eukaryota; Metazoa; Chordata; Amphibia; Anura; Pelobatidae.
AAAAGACUGGACAUACCCCAUUUGCAAUACCUUGGGUUGUCUACUAUUGCAAAUGGUAUGCCAUUAUGGGUGUAAAUUUCAUUCCUGGGCUACUAUACAGUCUCAAAGGCAACAUAACCAAUCUGGCAAAUUUCAAUUUCAAAUGUAACGUGCUAUAUUUGACCCUGUAACUUCCCAAAACACCAUAAAACCUGUACAUAGCGGGUACUGUUUUACAC